Molecule: long non-coding RNA, 909 nt
Filed under: Strongylocentrotus purpuratus (purple sea urchin)
Lineage: Eukaryota; Metazoa; Echinodermata; Echinoidea; Camarodonta; Strongylocentrotidae
Description: uncharacterized LOC115925141, transcript variant X2
Source: RNAcentral
GUUGUUGCCUGUGAAUGGUAAAGUUGUUGCAAAAAUGGUAAAUGUGUUGCUUUUUUUACCGAUUUGGUAAAGUUGUUGCCCAAAGCAACAACUUUCCAUAUGAAAAUUGGUAAAUGUGUUGUCAUCACCAUUGACAAUACACACGAGCCUGCUCCUGCGUGUAUUAUCGCAUAGACUUUAAAAGAGGCUACCAAGGCGCUUGAUGGAUGCGCAUGCUGCAUGCAUGGAGUCCUACAUAUAUACAUGUAUGUACAGUUUGACAGAAUGAUGGUGUUAUGGCAGAUGAAUGAGAUGAGAAUUACGAAUGGAGGUGCUCCCAGUGAUUCCAGAGCUGUUCUUCCAAGAGAGUGUCAACUAGCACUGAGCCUGGAUGUAAGGAUGUUCCUUCUGGAUCAAGAAGCGAUUUGAUUGUGGAGCCUGGAUGUAAGGAUGUUCCUUCUGGAUCAAGAAGCGAUUUGAUUGUGGAGCCUGGAUGUAAGGAUGUUCCUUCUGGAUCAAGAAGCGAUUUGAUUGUGGAGCCUGGAUGUAAGGAUGUUCCUUCUGGAUCAAGAAGCGAUUUGAUUGUGCUUACUGUUGUACAAAGUUGGCAACCGAGUAUUGGGGAAGCAGUUGUGCACACAACGUGUCAGCGUAGACUCCUCUAACCAGAUGGAGAGCAGACAAUGAUCAAGCUCAUUUUACAGGCUGCCCUUUCAAAUGCGUCCAAGAUGAAGAAAAGGCCAUUUCGAGCAUUGACCAAUGCUGUGUAUGACCCGAUGUCUAGGGAAGGACCCCUAGGAUGCUCAGCGAAGGCUUUCUACAAACAAUUAAUCAUGUAACACUAAGGAAUCUGUCGCUUGUCAACAAAAUAAAAUGGCAUUGUAUUUUCAUCUGUUUGCCUGUUCAAUGCAGGGACCUAUUUGCCUUCUA